GAAUGAAUGAGUGAAUGAAAAUUAUGAAGUGUUUACAACAUAUUAAGCACUGGGACACAGAUAGAAGAAUGGAAGGAGCCACCCAAGCGGGCCAUUCGGGGAGGGUUCGUCCAUGCAGGAUACAUACUGUGCACUCAUAGCUUCUGGCUUGCAAACGGACAACGAGGGAGAUGCCCACUUUUUUACUCCACUAAUUUAAAUGGUGAGAAGCCUCCCAGCCUAGUUGUGGAACAGCUCCAAAGAGCCCCUGGCUGAGCUGCGUGUCCAAGGCCCCUCCGACACCUCCAGCGAAGGAUUCAGAGAGGAGCGUAGUCCGAGCUCCACAGUAUACCGGAUGUUACCCAUGAUGAUGGAGUCUUUUCAGCUGCAUUGGGAAGGUGGCUCCAACACCGCCCCCCCACCUCAGGGAAUCCAGGUACCUCAUGAGCCCCAGGUUAAUGGAGCGACAGACACAGCCAGGUCACGUGAUGACAAAAACGAAUGGACAAAAGCCUUUUUCACUUACACCGGCUUGUUCAGCUACCACCGUUAGCCGUGUGUUCUGCCUGAACUCCUUAAACGAAGACGAAGCCACUGCAGAGCACAGCUAAAGUGACACCUCCUGUUGUUAUCCAGCGUGUCGUACUCUUCAUGACCCCAUCUGGGACUUUCUUGGAAGAAAUACUAGACUGGUUUGCAAUUUCCUUCUUCAGCUCAUUUUGCAGAUGUGGAAACUGAGGUAAACAGGGAAAAAUGAUUUGCCCAGGGUCACACAGCUAGUGUCUGAGGCCAGAUUUGAACCCAGGUCUGCUUGAUUCCAGGUCUGGAUCUCUUUCACUGCACCACCACCUAGCUACCUGCCUCUUACAGGAUGCUUUUCCUGAUCCCCUCUACCAUUAUUUUUCUCUCUCUUGAGAAACAACUUUGUAUUACUUUAUAUUCACUUACGUAACUACUCUGUUCUCUCCUACACUCGAAUCAGAAUGUAAGACCCUAGGGACCAGGAUGAUUUUGUUUGGGUCUUCGUGUGGCUCCUAGAACAGUGCCCGUCACACGCUGCUGAACUGAACUGAGCUGGUAAGAGAGCGUAGCAACUAGUACCCACCCGGUGGUCUUCCAUUGCCCGUUGUUUUCCUCUUUUCCCCUCCAUUUUGGUUCUUCCCAGAUUGUGGCAUUCUAUAGCUCCUGGCAACACACACAGGGAACUCACCAACCAACUUAUAUUUCCAAAGGAGAUUGUAACACCAGAUGAUGGGAACAAGGAACAAUGCAGGAUGAUGACAAAGGACCAGCUUGGCCCUGGAGGCAUAUGGAGGAAAGCCAAAGCUCAGAAUGGGGCUAGGAAGGUUGAGAGUGUGGCUGACUGCUUAAACUGUGUUGGAGGAAGAACAGGAUCAAAUAGGGGAUGGAAUCACUGUUCGGGAUGGAAGGAGUAAUGGGGGAGGAGACAGAAAGAUAGAGAGAGGAAAAAAAGAGAGAAGAAAGGAGAGACAGAGAGAGGGGAGAAAGGAGGAGAGAGGAGACAGAGAGACAGGAGGGAGAGAGAGAGACAGAGGAACAGAGAGAGAGAGAGGAGGGAGAGAUUGAAAGAUUGAGAGAGACAGAGAGAGAGAGAGACUAGAAAAAAGAAAAAAAAACGGUGGCGUAUUCAAGCUGAGACACAGCCAGGUGGCACAGAGGAUCCAUUGCAGGACCUCAGAUAUUACCCCAUGCACUUACCACCCAUUCAAGUCAUUUAGGUCACUUAUCUCCCUCGGCUUGCUUCCUCAUUGGUUAAAUGGAGAUAAUAGCACCAGCCUCACUCAUUGCAGAAAGAACCAAACAAAACAACAUAUGUAAAGUUCUUUGUAAACCUUAGAGCACUACAUGAAAGCACUAGCUGUCAUCAUCAUCAUCAUCAUCAUCAUCAUCAUCAUUUAAACGACACAUAGCUCAUUGAGCUUGACUUCAGUUUCUGACAAAAUUCAGGAGCAUUUCAUUCAAGGGAUGGUUAGUGGAUACCUAGAAAAGGAAGCAGUGACCACAAAGUGCUAGUGUGGCUUUAUCAGAAAAGUCAUUCCAGACUCCCCUCAUUCCUGUUUUUGACAGGGUUCGUGUCAUCGACAUAACAAAUCAGAAUUUCAGCCAAGUCCCUCAUGCUGUUCUUUUGGAAAAUGUGAAGAAAUAUGGGUCAGAUGAUAAACUUUGGGUAUGUUUGGAACUGAUCGAAUGCCUGGACCCUGGGAGGAUGCAUCCUUGAGUCAAUCACAGGAAAGUCUCUAGUAGAGUGCCCCAGGUCUCUGCCUGGGCCUUGUGCUGCUCAUUUUUAAGGAGAUGUCUUGCCUGAUGGCAACACUCAAAAGAUUCUUGAACAAAGUUCUCUCUGUAAUUACAUGUGUCGUACAAUUUUUUAAAAGAUUAACAGAUGCAUGAGGGAUACAUUUUAAAAUCUGUUAGAGUCACAUUUUGUUUAACCAAAUCUGAUCCUUUGAAAAAACUAACAAAAAUAAAUAAAUAAGCACAGUGGAA
Phascolarctos cinereus (koala) is the source of this 2487-nucleotide long non-coding RNA. Lineage: Eukaryota; Metazoa; Chordata; Mammalia; Diprotodontia; Phascolarctidae. The record is from Ensembl.